UGUUUAUUUCUGGAGCGGGGCGUGCUUUCACUGCAUUCCCUUUCCGGUGACAUGCAUCCUUAUCAGGGGAACCACCAAGAAACAGUUAUUGUGGUCAAGUGACAAGGCUUCACCAUCCCUCCCCCAGACUGCUGUUUCCUGCAGAUCGGUUGCUAGCAAAGUUUACUUCAGCUUCUGCAGCUCCUUUAAAGGCGCACAGCCUUCAUCUUGAGUACAGGACAGGACAGUGGUGAUCUCCUGUGUGGAAGACGCUGCCAAGUGCAAAGCCGCUCUUGGGGCCUCUAUCCCUGUGGUGAAUGCAGAGUUCCUUCUCAAAGGGAUCCUGCAGCAGAGUGCUGAGCUGCAGAGACACAGCCUGCAGGGACCCGGCUUCGACAGGCAGGGGGCGCCAGCACACCGGACCAGCACAGCUGGGGCGAGGAGACGCAGAUAGAGACGCGUUCCUGCUGCUGCUUGAAUCACUGCACUGCUUGACUUUCUUUGAUCAAAGACUUUGCAAAAAACAUCAUAUGAGUAAAGGAUGCAUUUCACUGGAUUUUAAACAACUUAAAAUCUAUUUUCCAUGAACCUUUUAUAAGCCCCAGCAAUGUUAUUACUGGUUCCUGGUUAAAGAAAGGCUUUAAAAUAAAUGUCUGCAACAUUUCAAGAUAAUUAAUGCAUUACAAGGAAAAACAAUGAGAGUUCUGAAAGUUUUACUACACCUGUAAUGACAUUGUUAUUCAUCUCUGUUGUUGUUUGAGACCAAAGGAUCAAAGAUAUUUUCAUAAAAUCAAACCCAUUGCAAUAGCAUUUUUAUUAAAGCAUGAAUCCGAGCCGAUCCCAGCACAAGGAGAAACUGAUCAACACGCCCUGCU
Acipenser ruthenus (sterlet) is the source of this 854-nucleotide long non-coding RNA. RefSeq lists it as uncharacterized. The transcript has 2 exons. The record is from RefSeq and is a predicted model, not a curated record. Lineage: Eukaryota; Metazoa; Chordata; Actinopteri; Acipenseriformes; Acipenseridae.